RNAcentral lists this ribosomal RNA (333 nucleotides) under Triticum aestivum (bread wheat). RNAcentral's name for it is "partial small subunit ribosomal RNA". Lineage: Eukaryota; Viridiplantae; Streptophyta; Magnoliopsida; Poales; Poaceae. The record is from RNAcentral.
AUGGCGCGUGGUGUAGUCAAGGUGAAAUUCCAUGAGGUGGUAAAGGAUGGAGACACAUGGGAGCUUAGCUUCCAUGGAUUUUGCAGCAUGCAGAGCUUGCCCACUCUCACAAAGGCUGGCCCAUGGGGUGGACAUGGUGGUUCAGGUACGGACUCAGAACAGCCAUGGCGCAUAGAAAGUAUGACCAUCGUCCAUGAGGGGACAAUUGCCAAGUAUUCAUGCACUUACGUUGACCUGUCCGGAAAGAGGCGCACCACGGGUUCUUGGGGUGGUGGUAAUGGUAUCCCCACAAAGGUUUGUUUUUCAUGCAUGUUUUGGUUCUGGGAUUGCUAA